CCUACGGGGGGCUGCAGUGGGGAAUAUUGGACAAUGGGCGAAAGCCUGAUCCAGCCAUGCCGCGUGUGUGAAGAAGGCCUUCGGGUUGUAAAGCACUUUCAGUGGGGAAGAAAGCCUUGGGGCUAAUACCCUCGAGGAAGGACAUCACCCACAGAAGAAGCACCGGCUAACUCCGUGCCAGCAGCCGCGGUAAUACGGAGGGUGCGAGCGUUAAUCGGAAUUACUGGGCGUAAAGCGCGCGUAGGCGGUCUGAUAAGCCGGUUGUGAAAGCCCCGGGCUCAACCUGGGAACGGCAUCCGGAACUGUCAGGAUAGAGUGCAGGAGAGGAAGGUAGAAUUCCCGGUGUAGCGGUGAAAUGCGUAGAGAUCGGGAGGAAUACCAGUGGCGAAGGCGGCCUUCUGGACUGACACUGACGCUGAGGUGCGAAAGCGUGGGUAGCAAACAGGAUUAGAUACCCGGGUAGUC
RNAcentral lists this ribosomal RNA (465 nucleotides) under Vreelandella stevensii. RNAcentral describes it as "partial 16S ribosomal RNA". It matches the Rfam family "Bacterial small subunit ribosomal RNA", at positions 338 to 795 of the family's 1533-position model. Lineage: Bacteria; Pseudomonadati; Pseudomonadota; Gammaproteobacteria; Oceanospirillales; Halomonadaceae. The record is from RNAcentral.